Molecule: ribosomal RNA, 404 nt
Filed under: uncultured bacterium
Lineage: Bacteria
Description: bacterial SSU rRNA
Rfam family: Bacterial small subunit ribosomal RNA
Source: RNAcentral
UAGGGAAUAUUGCACAAUGGGCGAAAGCCUGAUGCAGCAACGCCGCGUGCGCGAUGAAGGCCUUCGGGUUGUAAAGCGCUUUUCGGGGAGAAGAGGAAGGACGGUAUCCCCGGAAUAAGGCUCGGCUAACUACGUGCCAGCAGCCGCGGUAAAACGUAGGAGCCAAGCGUUAUCCGAAUUCACUGGGCGUAAAGCGCGUGCAGGCGGUCUGGUAAGUUGGAUGUGAAAUCUCCUGGCUCAACUGGGAGAGGCCGUUCAAGACUGUCAGACUAGAGGGCGACAGAGGGAGGUGGAAUUCCGGGUGUAGUGGUGAAAUGCGUAGAUAUCCGGAGGAACACCAGAGGCGAAGGCGACCUCCUGGGUCGCACCUGACGCUGAGAUGCGAAAGCUAGGGGAGCGAACGG